Molecule: ribosomal RNA, 3873 nt
Filed under: Triticum aestivum (bread wheat)
Lineage: Eukaryota; Viridiplantae; Streptophyta; Magnoliopsida; Poales; Poaceae
Description: partial small subunit ribosomal RNA
Source: RNAcentral
AUGGACGGGAUCGACGCGGAGCUCGCGCGCGCGCAGGAGGAGCGCCGGAGGCUGGAGGAGGCCCUGGCGGCCGGCGCCCCCAUGGCCGCCUCCUUCGUCACCUUCGACAAGGACCUCUACGGCGGGGGCGGCGGCUUCGCCGGCUACGACACCUCCAUCCCGGCCUCCGAGGACGACGACGCGCCCGAGGACGCCGAGCCAGCCGCCAACCCCGCCGCGCGCCGCCUCGCGUCCUACACGGGCCACGCCGUCGCCGCGGCCGCCGACGUCACCGGGUCGGGCGACGACGGCGGGCCCCCCUCCGCCAGCAAGCCCCGGCGCAUCAUCGACCGCGAGGACGACUACCGCCGCCGCCGCCUCGACCGCGGCCUCUCGCCGGAGCGCCACGACGCGUUCGCCGCGGGCGAGGCCACCCCGGCCCCCUCCGUCCGGACCUACGGCGACGCCAUGCGCGAAGCCAGCGCGCUGCAGGAGAGGGAGCGCACGCUGCGGGAGAUCGCCAGGAAGAAGGAGGGGGAGAGAGCCAAGGAGGAGAAGGCGGCGCCUCAGCCACCGCCAGCCGCGUCGACAAAACGGCGCAAUAGGUGGGAUCAGUCGCAGGAGGGCGAUGCUGCAGCUGCUGCCGGGGCCAAGAAGAAGGCCAGGACAGACUCAGAUUGGGACGCCCCUGAUGCAACUCCUGGAAUUGGGCGCUGGGACGCCACCCCUGGGCGUGUCGGGGAGGCGACGCCCUCUGUGAGGAGGAACCGGUGGGAUGAGACGCCGACUCCAGGGAGGAUGGCUGAUGCCGAUGCAACUCCGGCAGCUGGUGGCAUUACCCCAGGAGCAGGAGCCACCCCUUCUGGGGCAUGGGAUGCUACUCCUAAGCUCCCUGGUGGGCUUGCCACGCCAACGCCCAAGAAGCAGAGGUCGAGGUGGGAUGAGACUCCGGUUAGUAUGGGGAAUGCAACACCCAGUGGCACGGCAGCGACACCGUUUGGAGGAGAGAACCUUGCCACGCCGACACCUGGCCACCUUGCUGCUGUCCCGAUGACUCCGGAGUAUUACCAUCUCCUGCGGACGGAGCGGGACAUCGAGGAGCGAAACAGGCCUCUCACUGACGAGGAGCUUGACGCCAUGUUCCCGACGCAGGGAUACAAGAUUCUUGAGCCUCCAGCUUCGUACCAGCCCAUACGCACGCCUGCAAGGAAGCUGCUUGCUACACCAACGCCUCUGAGCACACCAUUGUAUGCUAUUCCCGAGGAGAAUCGUGGGCAGCAAUUUGAUGUGCCCAAGGACUUGGGUCCUGGGUUGCCACUCAUGAAGCCAGAGGAUAUAGAGUUCUUUGGGAAGUUGCUGAAUGAGGAUGACGAGGAGCAGCUGACGCCAGAGGAGCGGAAGGAGAGAAAAAUCAUGAAACUCCUGCUCAAGGUGAAGAACGGCACGCCCCCGCAGCGAAAGGCGUCACUUAAGCAGCUCACGGACAAAGCACGUGAAUUUGGUGCUGGCCCGCUGUUCAAUGGAAUCCUGCCAUUGCUCAUGCAGCCAACGCUUGAGGACCAGGAGCGGCAUCUCCUGGUGAAGGUCAUUGACAGGGUGCUGUAUAAGCUGGAUGAGCUGGUCCGUCCAUUUGUGCACAAGAUUCUUGUAGUUAUCGAGCCACUUUUGAUUGAUGAGGAUUACUACGCUCGUGCUGAGGGCAGGGAGAUUAUCUCAAAUCUUAGCAAAGCUGCUGGUCUUGCUACUAUGAUUGCCGCCAUGAGACCGGAUAUUGAUAACAUUGACGAGUAUGUGAGGAAUACAACUGCUAGGGCAUUCAGUGUGGUGGCUUCUGCUUUGGGUAUCCCCGCCCUCCUCCCAUUUUUGAAGGCUGUUUGUCAGAGUAAGAAGUCCUGGCAAGCUCGACACACUGGUAUCAAGAUUGUUCAGCAGAUUGCUAUUCUCAUGGGCUGUGCCGUUCUGCCUCACCUUAAGAACCUAGUUGAGAUCAUUGAGCAUGGUCUAACUGAUGAGAACCAGAAAGUGCGGACAAUCACUGCUCUCUCUCUUGCUGCACUUGCUGAAGCUGCUGCGCCCUAUGGUAUAGAAAGUUUUGAUAGUGUGUUGAGACCUCUCUGGAAGGGUACCAGAUCUCACAGUGGAAAGGUCCUUGCUGCCUUCUUGAAGGCUAUUGGUUUCAUCAUCCCUCUUAUGGAUGCUGAGUAUGCCAGUUUCUACACGAAGGGUGUGAUGCCAGUCUUAACCAGAGAAUUCAAGUCCCCAGAUGAAGAGAUGAAGAAGAUUGUCCUGAAGGUUGUGAAGCAGUGUGUCAGCACAGAGGGUGUACAGGCUGAUUAUAUCCGGAGGCAGUGUCUCAUCAGCACAGAGUGUUUAGAUCCUGGUUGUAUCCGGAAUCACACCGUCCUUUCAGCGUUCUUCAAACACUUCUGGGUUAGGAGAAUGGCUCUAGAUCGUAGGAACUAUAAGCAACUUGUGGAAACAACAGUAGAGAUGGCAAACAAGGUGGGAGUUACUGAUAUCGUUGGGAAGGUUGUUGAGGAUCUGAAAGAUGAGAGUGAGCCUUACAGGAGAAUGGUGAUGGAAACAAUUGAGAAGGUGGUGGCUAACUUGGGUGCCUCGGAUAUUGAUCCUCGCCUGGAGGAGCUGCUUAUUGAUGGCAUCCUGUAUGCUUUCCAGGAGCAGACAAGUGAUGAUGCAAAUGUCAUGCUUAAUGGCUUUGGAGCUGUUGUGAAUGCGCUCGGCCAGAGGGUCAAGCCUUACCUUCCGCAGAUAUGUGGUACCAUCAAGUGGCGGUUGAACAACAAGAGUGCAAAAGUUAGGCAGCAAGCUGCUGAUCUGAUCUCAAGGAUAGCUAUUGUGAUGAAGCAGUGCCAGGAGGAGCAGCUUAUGGGUCACCUGGGUGUUGUGCUGUAUGAGUACUUGGGGGAGGAGUAUCCUGAGGUGCUGGGUUCAAUUCUCGGAGCAUUGAAGGCUAUCGUGAAUGUUAUUGGCAUGACUAAGAUGACUCCUCCAAUCAAGGAUCUUCUUCCUCGUCUGACCCCCAUCUUGAAGAAUAGGCAUGAGAAGGUCCAAGAGAACUGCAUUGAUCUAGUUGGUAGGAUAGCUGAUCGCGGAGCGGAAUUCGUACCAGCUCGGGAGUGGAUGAGGAUUUGUUUUGAGCUGCUGGAAAUGUUGAAGGCUCACAAGAAGGGUAUCAGAAGAGCCACUGUGAACACAUUUGGUUAUAUUGCCAAGGCAAUCGGGCCUCAGGACGUGUUGGCCACUCUGUUGAACAACCUGAAGGUGCAGGAGCGACAAAACCGUGUUUGCACGACUGUAGCAAUUGCUAUUGUUGCUGAAACUUGCUCGCCGUUCACAGUUCUGCCCGCCCUCAUGAAUGAGUACCGGGUUCCGGAGCUCAAUGUCCAGAAUGGUGUUUUGAAAUCUCUCUCUUUCCUCUUUGAGUAUAUUGGUGAGAUGGGCAAAGAUUACAUAUACGCCGUCGCUCCCUUGCUCGAAGAUGCACUGAUGGACAGGGAUCUGGUUCACAGGCAGACGGCCGCGUCUGCCAUCAAGCAUAUGGCUCUAGGAGUUGCUGGCUUGGGCUGUGAGGAUGCUCUCGUCCAUUUGCUCAACUAUGUCUGGCCCAACAUAUUUGAGACAUCUCCCCAUCUCAUAAAUGCCGUCAUGGAGGCCAUCGAGGGGAUGCGGGUUGCUCUAGGCGCAGCCGUGGUUCUGAAUUAUUGCCUUCAGGGCCUCUUCCAUCCAGCAAGGAAAGUACGCGAAGUAUACUGGAAGAUCUACAACUCGCUGUAUAUCGGCGCGCAGGACGCACUCGUGGCUUCUUAUCCUGCACUAGGCGAUCUUGGAAACAAUGACAUCUUCAGCCGUCCAGAGCUAACCAUGUUCGUGUGA